GCUGACGAUAAUAGCUUGGAGGUCCCACCUGAUCCCUUCCCGAACUCAGAAGUGAAACUCCAAUGCGCCAAUGGUAGUGUGGUUCGCCCAUGUGAGAGUAGGUCAU
RNAcentral lists this ribosomal RNA (106 nucleotides) under Salmonella enterica subsp. enterica serovar Enteritidis. Lineage: Bacteria; Pseudomonadati; Pseudomonadota; Gammaproteobacteria; Enterobacterales; Enterobacteriaceae. The record is from RNAcentral.